CCUACGGGAGGCAGCAGUAAGGAAUAUUGGACAAUGGUCGCAAGACUGAUCCAGCCAUGCCGCGUGAAGGAUGAAGGCCCUAUGGGUUGUAAACUUCUUUUGUAUGGGAAAAAACCCCUCUACGCGUAGAGGGCUGAUUGUACCAUAAGAAUAAGGAUCGGCUAACUCCGUGCCAGCAGCCGCGGUAAUACGGAGGAUCCAAGCGUUAUCCGGAUUCAUUGGGUUUAAAGGGUGCGUAGGCGGAAUGAUAAGUCAGUGGUGAAAGCCUGCAGCUUAACUGCAGAACUGCCAUUGAUACUGUCAAUCUUGAGUACAUUUGAUGAGGGCGGAAUGUGUCAUGUAGCGGUGAAAUGCUUAGAUAUGACACAGAACACCGAUUGCGAAGGCAGCUCUCAAAACUGUAACUGACGCUGAGGCACGAAAGCGUGGGUAUCAAACAGGAUUAGAUACCCUGGUAGUCCACGCUGUAAACUAUGAUUACUCGAUGUUUGCGAUACACUGUAAGCGUCUAAGCGAAAGCGAUAAGUAAUCCACCGUGGGGAGUACGCUCGCAAGAGUGAAACUCAAAGGAAUUGGACGGCUUGGAGGACGNGCGACGGACGACGACGAGGGGAGGAGG
This 619-nucleotide ribosomal RNA is filed under the name uncultured bacterium. Its description in RNAcentral is "bacterial SSU rRNA". It matches the Rfam family "Bacterial small subunit ribosomal RNA", at positions 338 to 959 of the family's 1533-position model. The record is from RNAcentral.